AGUUAAUGUGCUAUCAUCAUUGAUAACCCUUAGGAGGGACAACAAGGGCUUCUCAAUAGUGUGCUUCUCUUCAUCAAGCUGGAGGAAGGGGUCUUCACCAUUACUUAGAGUACGUAAUUCAACCACUAGUUAAAAGUAAUGGUGUCCUCAGAUCUUAGAUCUGAAUCAUCUUCUUUAAAUGGUUCUUUAAUUCAUGGCCAAAGAAUGUCUUUCCAUAUACUCUCAGAGAGAUAGUCCUUCUUUGAGAGAAAGAUAUAAAAUUUAAUUCUAGGUCUUCUUUAACUCUGAAACUAUGUUGCCUGAAGCAACUCAUGUGCUGCCAUCAGAUUUUAUUAGGUGGGCUAAAGCAGAUUCAGAAGGAGAUUUCCUUACAUAAUGGCUGUCCCCAUGGAACCUUCAGGUAGUCAGUUAAAACUGUCUAAUGAAGAAUUUUCAAGAUCCAUAAGUACAGGAAAAAUCUUGAUGGUCUCUCUCCCUUACUGAUUCAUUGAUAGUUCUCAAACAUUGGGCUGGCACAACGAGAGUAAAAUAGUACAUUUCGCACAGUGUAAAGUGGUGGGUGUGGAUGUUUUCGGAGCCAGUCAGUCUCUGGCAGCUGACUGAGUCACACUCCUGCUUUGUUGCCCACUUACAUCUUCAGAGAGCAGCCUGGGUGGGGAUACUCAUCAAAAUGUGCUCAUUUAAGGACAAACCCAUUUGAACAUUACAACAUUUGGCAAACUUCCUCUACCGAAUGGUGAACCUGGCCCACUGCCUCUGAGAUGCUUCCGUUGCUUGGCUGGGAAACAUAGACCCUUUAACGUCCUUCAUGUGGUAGAACACAUUCAAGACCUUCCAACUAAACACCUGUCUAAGAGCCCUGAGUGUUUUACCUGUUCCUCAAACAUUAUCAAGAUCUUGGCCUGGACCAGUGGGUUACGGAUGUGCAGUGAGUCCUUUUGCAAUAUACAACUAUUUUUAAUCAUGACUGGAGAAUCCCGACGUCUUACUGAGUUCUAGUGGUCACAUGUUUCAUCAAGAAGUCAGCAAACAUCUACUGAACAAGUUCAAUGUGGAGAAUUCUGUACCAUACUUAAGGAAAUGCUCCCACUCCCUUAAGAUGUUUAUAAUCUUAUUGAGAAUGAGGGAACAACAAAAACCAUAGAGGCAAAACUGUGUGACUGCAAAACUGCUUCUAGAUCAACACAAAACAUUUAUGCAUUUAAAUGAGGCCAGCGAACAAGAUGGCUUUCGGUUACAGCAGGUUUAAAUUUCCACUCAGAUCCGUCGUGAUCGAAAACUAUGGUUCUCUCGAAGGGAUGCAUGUAUAUGGGAAUAUUCUGUGCCACACUCAGAUUUUGGCCUUAUGGCCACGGUAUCGAACUAUUAUCAAUUAUAUUGUGAAUUCCUGCUUCUUUGAUGGGGAGAGGAGAGAGGAAAAUCCACACUUAUUUUGCACAAAGCACUGUGCAGGAAUCCAAUGGCUGUGGCCUCCAUUCAUUCUUCAAUUCAGGGGCGAUGGAAACCUGGUCAGUCGACCUGCAGUAUUGACUCUUACAUCAUCUCACUUCUCUCAUACAACCGAUAUAUAAGCAACUGAAGAGCCCUGGGGGGAUCAGUUAGUUUCUGAACUGAGUUCAUCUACAAGUGAACCAAAAGGAACUCGAGUUUUAAAAACGUGGCUGUGUCACUUCUUAAACAUUCAUAUAAAGCAAAAGGAGCACAAAAAAUGGAUGUAGGAAUCUCAUUUCUUCAUAAUUAUUAAGACCUGAAAACUACUUUGAAGAAAACUGGUCAUGGAUAAGAAAAUAACUUCAUCACAGUGGUUAAAGAAAAUCACCCAAAGAAAUAAACAAACAUAUGAAAGCCUUUUAAUAUACCAAGGUAUUACUAUAUUUAUUUCUGACCUUUGGCUACUGAGAAAA
This 1904-nucleotide long non-coding RNA is filed under the name Equus asinus (donkey). RNAcentral's name for it is "lncRNA (ENSEASG00005027769.1)". The record is from RNAcentral. Lineage: Eukaryota; Metazoa; Chordata; Mammalia; Perissodactyla; Equidae.